Molecule: long non-coding RNA, 280 nt
Organism: Hibiscus syriacus
Lineage: Eukaryota; Viridiplantae; Streptophyta; Magnoliopsida; Malvales; Malvaceae
Exons: 3
Source: RefSeq, a predicted model, not a curated record
UUCUCCCCGAAGCCUGAUAUCUAACUCAUCAAUGUCGGAUGUAAUUCCAUUUGAAAUCAUAUAGAAAAUCGAUUGGGGAAAUAUAUACUUUCAUUUUAUCCAAAUGGAUACACCUUUCAGAUCUCGCUUUUGCGUUUUGUUCCUCCUUACUUGUUUAUUAAUUUGUGGUUUCGCUUUUGUUGGAGCUUAAAAUCAAAGGCCGAAGAACGUUCAAGUUGCGAUUCGGGCUAAAUGGUCGGGUACUCCAUUGCUCUUGGAAGCCGGUGAAUUGCUCUCGAAG